RNAcentral lists this unclassified non-coding RNA (356 nucleotides) under soil metagenome. RNAcentral's name for it is "partial contains 5.8S ribosomal RNA, internal transcribed spacer 2, and large subunit ribosomal RNA". The stretch from base 1 to 120 matches the Rfam family "5.8S ribosomal RNA", at positions 35 to 154 of the family's 154-position model. The record is from RNAcentral.
GAUGAAGAACGUAGCGAAAUGCGAUACGUAAUGUGAAUUGCAGAAUUCAGUGAAUCAUCGAAUCUUUGAACGCACAUUGCGCCCGCCAGUAUUCUGGCGGGCAUGCCUGUCCGAGCGUCAUUUCAACCCUCGAACCCCUCCGGGGGUCCGGCGUUGGGGAUCGGGAACCCCUAAGACGGGAUCCCGGCCCCGAAAUACAGUGGCGGUCUCGCCGCAGCCUCUCAUGCGCAGUAGUUUGCACAACUCGCACCGGGAGCGCGGCGCGUCCACGUCCGUAAAACACCCAACUUCUGAAAUGUUGACCUCGGAUCAGGUAGGAAUACCCGCUGAACUUAAGCAUAUCAAUAAGCGGAGGA